Molecule: long non-coding RNA, 324 nt
Filed under: Gossypium raimondii (Peruvian cotton)
Lineage: Eukaryota; Viridiplantae; Streptophyta; Magnoliopsida; Malvales; Malvaceae
Description: long non-coding RNA (GRAI_LNC010019)
Source: RNAcentral
CUAGUUUCGGACAUCCUCUCAGGUUGCAGCCAUGGGAUUGGGGGAGCAGCUGCCACCGUUGAGGGAGAUAAGCUUAAAGUCACAGAAGGGGAAGGUGGUGUGACAACGGACGCAUUGCUGGAAUUAGAAAGCCAAGGUGGAAGUAAAGUUGGUGGUGCAGGUGAAGGUGGGUCAGUAUGAAGAAAACCCCCGUUAGAAGCAGCCAUGGGAAAGGCUGAGCUAUGGCCCUGUUUUACUAGUUUUUCAGCAAAAGUUUCUAAUAUCCUAUCGUACUUGCCUUCCUCGACUGGCUCAACCGUCUUAUGCUUCUCUUUAUGUUCCCUU